UUGACUAUAAAAGAAAACAUAAUGUUGAAUUCGCAGAAUUAAAUGGAAACUCACUAGUCAUGUGUGAGUCCCAGAUAUGCUCUAUUUAAUCCUCAAAGUGGAGGCUCCAAUUCUCCGUAGAGGUUUAUAUUCUGCGACUAAAAACAAGAACAGAAGUUAUUUAUCUAGAGAAGAAAGAAUGAAACACAAAGAUAUAUUAACUACUGUAAUAAUUUGUUUUGGGGAUACUUCCUAGUCCAACCCCAGCACUGCCAAUACUGAAUCAGAUGCCCUGCCUUUUCACAACACAACAUAAUACCAACCUAAAUCUUUAUCGAUAGAUUUGUAACUUUGGAUAGGCAUUGACAUUAUUUUGAUUCAGUAUCUACCUUCGACCUUCCUUCCAGAGUAGAUACUGGAAAUUUAGGUUGUCUUUUAGCUCCAAUUUUCCCCAGAAAAAAAAAAUUGGUUUCCCAUAUAAGUAUUGAAACCACUUAUUCUGACUCUGUCACUUUACAUAAAACUUGGUUCGGUUUGUAUUUGGAUGUUAACGGUUAAAUCAAGCAGUGCAAUUCCAAUUAGAUACACUUUGGACAAUCAUCAUAUUAAUUCAUCCCAAUAAAAAAUUCCCAAUUAUGUUUGUUUUCUUUCAUCAAAAGUUAUCAUCGAUUCAACCAUACCAACUGUAUGCAAAUCAACCAAAAAUAGUACUCAUGAAAAGGGAGGAGAAAGAGUCUAGAAUCUAGAUUAGCUGAAUUCAUGAAAAGGGAUUGAGUUUACCUGAUUUCUUGAAUGUUGGCCAAGAGUUCUGUCACUCUGUAGUUCUAACUUCUAAAAGAAAAUAGAUGAGCGCCAACAAGAUUAGGAGAACACUACACAGAGACUACAUCAUCAAUGUGACAAUGUUCAAGAUUGUUACUGCAAGCACUACAAAUUGAGCCUACAACCCAAAUUUUCUCUUUGAUUGCACCUAGAAAACUGGUUUUGC
Molecule: long non-coding RNA, 967 nt
Filed under: Aquilegia coerulea
Lineage: Eukaryota; Viridiplantae; Streptophyta; Magnoliopsida; Ranunculales; Ranunculaceae
Description: long non-coding RNA (ACOE_LNC002217)
Source: RNAcentral